This 72-nucleotide transfer RNA is filed under the name Bos taurus (domestic cattle). It matches the Rfam family "tRNA". Rfam says of the family: Transfer RNA (tRNA) molecules are approximately 80 nucleotides in length. Their secondary structure includes four short double-helical elements and three loops (D, anti-codon, and T loops). Further hydrogen bonds mediate the characteristic L-shaped molecular structure. tRNAs have two regions of fundamental functional importance: the anti-codon, which is responsible for specific mRNA codon recognition, and the 3' end, to which the tRNAs corresponding amino acid is attached (by aminoacyl-tRNA synthetases). tRNAs cope with the degeneracy of the genetic code in two manners: having more than one tRNA (with a specific anti-codon) for a particular amino acid; and 'wobble' base-pairing, i.e. permitting non-standard base-pairing at the 3rd anti-codon position. RNAcentral also lists the same sequence under 2 other names. The record is from Rfam by way of RNAcentral. Lineage: Eukaryota; Metazoa; Chordata; Mammalia; Artiodactyla; Bovidae.
UCCCUGGUGGCUCAGAUGGUAAAGAAUCUGCCUCUGAUGCAGGAGACCCAGGUUCGAUCCCUGAGUUGGGAA